Molecule: ribosomal RNA, 486 nt
Filed under: uncultured bacterium
Lineage: Bacteria
Description: partial 16S ribosomal RNA
Rfam family: Bacterial small subunit ribosomal RNA
Source: RNAcentral
AUUGAACGCUGGCUGCAUGCCUUACACAUGCAAGUCGAACGGCAGCACGGGUGCUUGCCCCUGGUGGCGAGUGGCGAACGGGUGAGUAAUACAUCGGAACAUGUCCUGUAGUGGGGGAUAGCCCGGCGAAAGCCGGAUUAAUACCGCAUACGAUCUACGGAUGAAAGCGGGGGACCUUCGGGCCUCGCGCUAUAGGGUUGGCCGAUGGCUGAUUAGCUAGUUGGUGGGGUAAAGGCCUACCAAGGCGACGAUCAGUAGCUGGUCUGAGAGGACGACCAGCCACACUGGGACUGAGACACGGCCCAGACUCCUACGGGAGGCAGCAGUGGGGAAUUUUGGACAAUGGGCGAAAGCCUGAUCCAGCAAUGCCGCGUGUGUGAAGAAGGCCUUCGGAUUGUAAAGCACUUUUGUCCGGAAAGAAAUCCUUGGCCCUAAUACGGUCGGGGGAUGACGGUACCGGAAGAAUAAGCACCGGCUAACUACGUG